UCAAUCACUUUUUUCAAUCGAUGAAGUAUUGAAAUUCUCAUGUCAAGUUCGAAAAUGGGUGAUAUCGAUUCAAUCAUCGGGGAGUAGGUCUCAAAAAAAUCGUUAUCUACUCUUUGUUUAGACAAUAACUGGAGUAAUUCUCAACCAAUUAAAAAAAAAUGUUUUGUUGGGUUCCUAGAUAGAUUAUGUUGGUCUAAAGAUCUAGCAAUAGUAUUUUUCUUGUUAUGUGAUUUUGUCUUGUAACAAAAGCGAUUAAACAGAACAAAAAUUAAUCUGUGAGAAGCUUGCGGCGAGAGCGAAGCGAGUGCCGCAGUUCACACGAAUUUAAGUUUCAUUGAAGACAUACUCCAUUUUUUCACCGGGGAAUUUCGUAGACAGCGUUUCAGAAGAUUCUCAGCGAAACUCAACAAAAUUAAAUUAUUAACGAGAGAUGAUGACCGUUCUGGUAGUUCUUCUUUGAAUUAUGUUUCUUUUCCGCCAUCAAAUACAAAUACUAUUGAGAAGUUCAGACAGUCAAGGGAUAUGCCCCACCCAACAGUUCAGACCUAGUUUUACAGAAUUUUAUUGAAUUAAAAAUAGGCACUGUGUCCAUAACACAAAUUCCUCUCAUUUUUUUCAAUCGUGCUUUGUUAUAUUAUACACAAUUUGAAAUAACCAUUGAGAACGUCACGAAGAUAUUUUCAUUAAAUGCGUUUUGGAAUGAAGAGAAAUCAUAAAAAUAAAAUCUCACAAAGGUAACAAUCCACAAUGUUUCGAGACUAAAAAUUGAAAUGAAUUUAUUUUCCAUCCUGGAGUACCAAAAACGUCACAUUCUCUCACCAAAUCUAGUGCCGAAAGAAUAAAGUUCUACCUUACUUUUCUUUGCUCUUUUUUCCACCGCUUAUGUCAUUUUCGAUCCUAUGUUUAUUACUUCCCAGAUGUGUCAGUUCAAGUUUGUUGGUAUGUUUUGUUCGGAAUGUGACUUUGGUGCUCCAGUAUGAAAAAUAGUAUACAUCACUGGGAUCAAAAAGGAGCAUUUAAGAGUGCGGUGGUGAAAACGUCCAGGGAUGGAGCAACGCGAAGCGACGUGGCUCUAAAACCUUUUUGAUCCUAGUGACGUAACAUACUGUUGUAAUAAUUGAAAAAAAGAGAAAAAAUUGACUGCAUUGAAAGCAGAUUUUUUUGUGUGCUCUGAAUGUCAUUUCUGUAUGAAUAUACGUAUAGUCACAGUCUCUGUUUUAGCCAACAAAGAAACGUUAAAUAAACAUUAAAUAAAGAGAAAAUGAAUUUUUAAAAUGAAAAUAUAAAUCAAAUAAAGGUAAAUAAAUAACAUUAAAUUAACUAUGAUAUCUACAUUAGAUAUAGCUAGGUGAUAAAUUGAAAUGAAAAUGUUAUUGAUAAGGCGAUAAUAAAUUUAAUUAAUCUGGCAAAAAAA
Long non-coding RNA from Bradysia coprophila, 1414 nucleotides. Lineage: Eukaryota; Metazoa; Arthropoda; Insecta; Diptera; Sciaridae. The record is from RefSeq and is a predicted model, not a curated record.